This is a long non-coding RNA of Haliotis rufescens (red abalone), 2586 nucleotides long. RefSeq lists it as uncharacterized. Lineage: Eukaryota; Metazoa; Mollusca; Gastropoda; Lepetellida; Haliotidae. The record is from RefSeq and is a predicted model, not a curated record. The transcript is spliced from 2 exons.
UUUCAGAAAUGGAGUCGGAGUGGCGUUAUUCAGUGGAGCUGUCGGGACUGGCACGGGCUCGGAAGGAACAGACCUGAAUGAGAUAACAGACCCAUUCCACCUCUUCAAGGCUCGUGAACCAGUUGCUACUUACAAUCAGAAAAAUAUCUGCAGCAGCAAUGUAUUUAGAACAAUGUGUAGCUGAUACGUUGAGUCUGUGAAAUAUCUUUUUUUUAAAUAAAUUCUUUCUGCUUUUCGUGAAAAGGAAUAUCAAAAUAGAACCUUCAGUAAGUAUGGGAGCCUGUGCGUUCCAGUCCCCACAUCGCUGCGCAGAGUUGCAUUCCGUAUAGCUGUCAGGAUCCGCUGGUCUCGGGUUCGAUUCUAAGAUUCGCCCCUGGUCUGUCAGCACCUUAUCCACACUUGCAGGUCUCACGUACUGGUACCCAUCUACGACCUGCAUCACUUUAGGCCCCAUCAGGCCGUCAAUCCGUCAUCUUGAUGAACUAGAUUUCAAAGCAAGUGUUAAACCGGCUAAAGCACUGAAUUCAAACAUAUUGUUUAUUCAUGGCAAACUGAGAGGUCUUAGACCCAUAGUUCAACAUAAUUAAACUAAAGCUCUCACACUUAAAUGUUUUCUAUUCCUGAUCAUGUCAGAGGCGCUUAUCAUCCACACGACAGACAUGAAGACGCCAGUGUUUAGAACGAAUGGAGCGAGAUAUCUCUAUAUUUGUCGUCAUUAGAUAUAUUUCUUCAUUGGAUAUACAAAUUUCCAUUUUCCUGAAAACAAGAACUGUAUAUCUGAGUAUGCUAGAAUACCCGCAUUCCUUGCAGAAUGUCUUCAUGUGUAAGGCGACUGAAGACCUCAGAAUGGGACCGUAUACAGUGAAACCUGGUUAACUCGAAUUCCUUGAACAUAUUGUUUAAACAAUUUAAUUAUCCGCACUACGCUUGUCUCUAGGACUUCGAGUAAACAAGACUUCACUGUAUAUUAAAGUGCCGGAAUAAACACCGUACUCUUUACGCUAUAGUAAAGCCACAAUCGUUGUUUAGUAUUUUUGUUAUUUUCCCCAAAUCUUCUAUUUCUAUACUUGCUUUACAGUUAUGGAUGCAAUGAACGUUCAUCUGUUGUUGUUUUAAUGUUCUUGUUUGUUGCGUCGUUUUGUCUGUUAAAGUUUUGUGUUUCUAAAGUGAUGCCCCUUUGACAAGCUCAAUAUAUGUUUCGUUGUCAAAAAGUAUAAUACGAGUAAUAUAUACAUAUAUAUAUUAUUUAUUUCAUAUCAAUUUCGACUUUGUUCUUCCAGAUGAUCAUGAGGUAACGAAUGUUGUUUCAUUUCUUAUACAACUAAUCCCUGAAAUAUUAUCAAGUUUAUGUUCGUAGUGUCAUCAUAACGUGUACAAUUGACAUGACAUAAUCUGAUUUGCUGAACAGACAAAAGUUCGUGAAGUGCAUGUUUAUAUGAGUUGAUGAAAAAAUACAAUGACACCUCGUUAAUUUGAAUCCCUUUAAUCCGAAACAUCAUUUAAAACGACGUGACUUCAUAUCUACGGAAUCGUGGAUAAUGUGGUAUAAUACUCUUUGUUUAUCUCGAAAUAAUCUUAAAUAAUAAUAUGUGCUAUCUUAUUGACAACUGUUUCGAACUACGGUACCUGUUUUCGUUGGUUCCAGAACUUUAAAUGAACGGGGAUUUAUUGAAUUUAGUGUUUUGAAAUGUAUUGGUAUGUUUUUAUGCAUUUACUUUAUGAAACAUAAUUUAGAUAUAAUUGCCAAAUAUGAAGGAUAUUUGAAAAUGUAGAGCAGUAGGUUGUAACUGUAAGAACAGGAAGUUAACAAUCUACAUUGUCGUUUAUAGCCACCAUGUAUAUAAUGUACAUUUGAUAUGUAAAUAUUUGUAUAUCGUUCUUUUUACUGCAAAUUGCAGGUUGAAUUGCAUUUAUUAUAUCUAUCUAAUUUUUUUACUGGGGCCAGCCACCCAAAAGUCCACCUCUCCUUUCAUAAAUGUGAAAGUGCUAAUACGUGUGCCCCUCUGACGUCAUCUCUUUUGUUGUGUACGUCAGCUGUUAACUCAGUUACAAUCUCAUACAGUAUUAUAGGAACUGAGUGUGAGUAAGUCUUGUUAUGAAAUGAAAAAAACACACUUUGAAAAGCGGUAUUUUGAAUGAAAUCUAUGUGUUCCCAGUCAAUGAGGGACCGGUCAAUAUAAUCUGGUCGAAGGUGUUUUUUUGCUGGGAUGGUAUUUCAGUUCUAACAUAUUAUAAAAUUGCAUGGUUUCCUUAAAACACUGACCCAGUAUCAACAAAAGUUUCUGAUGAGUUAAAAAUCAAAAAUAUUUGUCAACGACGAAAAAAAUAAAUGAUCGGUCCCUCGGGUAGGACCGGGGUUCAAUAACGCCUGAAGCAUGUAUAUGUGCAGCAGAUGUUCUGGUUCCCUUUAAAGAAGACAUAGCAACACGCAACCCGACACUGGCUGAAAUAUUCCGACUGGGAGUCCAACAUGACAGACUCACACCCAGCGUUCAUUAAUUAGAUGUCCUAAUACUCCAUCUCACUCUUUCUAUUUGUACAGCACUUUACAAUAAACUGUUCAAGAAAACAUCUUGUCAAUCAGUU